This 624-nucleotide ribosomal RNA is filed under the name uncultured bacterium. Its description in RNAcentral is "bacterial SSU rRNA". It matches the Rfam family "Bacterial small subunit ribosomal RNA", at positions 221 to 842 of the family's 1533-position model. The record is from RNAcentral.
ACGGAUGGUCAUGCGUCGCAUUAGCUAGUUGGCGGGGUAACGGCCCACCAAGGCGACGAUGCGUAGGGGUUCUGAGAGGAAGGUCCCCCACACUGGUACUGAGACACGGACCAGACUCCUACGGGAGGCAGCAGUGAGGAAUAUUGGUCAAUGGCCGCAGGGCUGAACCAGCCAAGUCGCGUGAGGGAUGACGGUCCUAUGGAUUGUAAACCUCUUUUGUCAGGGAGCAAAGGGCGCCACGUGUGGCGCUUUGCGAGUACCUGAAGAAAAAGCAUCGGCUAACUCCGUGCCAGCAGCCGCGGUAAUACGGAGGAUGCGAGCGUUAUCCGGAUUUAUUGGGUUUAAAGGGUGCGCAGGCGGAAUGUCAAGUCAGCGGUAAAAUUUCGGGGCUCAACCCCGUCGUGCCGUUGAAACUGGCGUUCUUGAGUGAGCGAGAAGUAUGCGGAAUGCGUGGUGUAGCGGUGAAAUGCAUAGAUAUCACGCAGAGCUCCGAUUGCGAAGGCAGCAUACCGGCGCUCAACUGACGCUCAUGCACGAAAGCGUGGGUAUCGAACAGGAUUAGAUACCCUGGUAGUCCACGCAGUAAACGAUGAAUACUAACUGUCCGGGCAGAAUGAUGCCUGG